GAGAGACUCUGGAACACUGAUUUUGAUGAUAAAAUAUCGAGCCAUACAAAACCAGUAUGUAUAUUGAAGAUAAACGAGCUCUCGCCAUUAUGGAAUCUACAGUUAUUUCAUGAGGAUGGUCACUAUAAGCUCGGGCUACCUUGGAGAGAUAAGAAUGCAAGUAUACCAAACAAUCUUCCUCUUACGCAUUCAAGAUUACAAAAUCUACGUAAAAAGCUGAUACGCAAUCCAAAUCUACACGAACUGUAUUAAAGUACAGUAAAUGACCCUAUCGAGAAUGGAUAUGCCACAGAAGUCACCAACAGUGAGAUGAAUACAAAUUGCGUAUGUUAUCUAUCUCACCAUCCUGUGAUUAACGAGCACAAACCUGGCAAAGUACGUGACGUAUUUAACUGCGCAGCUACAUAUCAAGGCAGAUCUCUUAACAGCGAACUGUUACAGGGACUAGAUUUGAUGAACAGUUUGGUUGGUGUACUUCUACGAUUUAGGAAGGACAAAAUCGGCAUUGUAGCAGACAUAGAAGCAAUGUUCCGACAAGUAAUGGACUGGACUGAAUGCCUUAAGGUUUCUUUGGUGGCCUAAUGGUAACUUAAAUCAGGAUCCUAAAUGGUAGCAGAUGAAAGUACAUCUCUUUGGAGCCACAUCUUCCCCAACCUGUGCUGUAUUUGCUUUGAGAUGCAGAGCUACAGAUAACUCAGAUAAGUUUGAGAGAGAAGUAAAUCAACAGUUAGAAAAAAAUUCUAUGUUGAUGACUUAUUGAACAACAGAGUAUUCCACGCUUGGAACUAUCAGGAGCUGUAGUUGCUUGUCGCCUGUAUCGAAUGAUAGCAGAGGAACUAGAAAUUCAAUUUACACAGGCUUACUUCAGGACAGAUUCUACAAUUGUCUUGGGGUAUAUAAGUAACGAAUCACGUCGUUUCAAGACCUUUGUUGGAAAUCGUCUCAGUGAGAUUCAUUGGAGGACAACUCCUGAUUAGUGGCAUGAUGUCGGUUCUACAUCAAACCCGGCUGAUGUAGCUUCAAGAGGCAUCACUGCAUGCGAUACUGAAAAAUUGCAGUUUUGGUUGAAGGGACCUAAUUUCUUGUUUCAAGACCCAACCCAGUGGCCAGAAGAAGCGUCAAACAAAGUCCUAGAUAUUGCUGAAAAUGACGCCCAGGUCAAGAAAGAAAUCGCAGUAUAUACAACAACUGUUGGUUAUAUUGAAAGACUUAUUGAAUAUUACUCGGAUUGGACCAAACUUAGACGAGCAGUCGCAUGGAUGAUUAGGCUCAAGGCCUAUUGAAGACAACAGUAUUUGAAACAUCCCAUCUCAUGUGCCGAAGGAGAACUGUCUCUGAAAGAGAUGAGAGAAGCUACAGAAGUGAUUCUGAAGCAUGUGCAGUGUUGUUCCUUUACAGAAGAGCUUGAAAAUAUGAGGAAGGGGAGAUCUAUCAAAAUUUAUAGUCGUAUUGCAACCUUAAACCCUACACUAGAUGAUGGUAUUAUUCGAAAGGACGUCUUCAUUUCAAUGAAUUGAAUGCAUCUCCCAUCAUACUGCCGAGCAAACACCAUGUUACAAACCUUAUUAUUCGGUUCUACCACGAGAUUCAAGGACAUAUGGGAAAACAACAAGUGCUUUCUGAAACGCACAAAAAGUUUUGGAUAAUGAGAGGACUUAGUGAUGUUAAAAGAGUCCGUUGGCACUGUGUACCUUGUAAACGUCGACAAGGAGAGUUUUGUAAACAACAAAUGGCACCUCUACUGAAAGAACAGACAGCAACAGAUAAACCUCCAUUUACGUUUGUCGGCAUAGACUAUUUUGGUCCGCUUCUGGUGAAAUAACACCGUUCACAUGUAAAGAAAGUAGAGCAGUGCAUUUAGAGGUUGCUCACAGUCUAACAACAGAUUCAUUUAUUGCUGCCUUCCAACGUUUUACCAGUCGACGAGGAGUGCCAGGAAAGGUCUACAGUGAUAAUGGCACUAACCUUGUAAGUGGUGACCACGAGUUGCGCAUAGAAGACGUAUAUGCUAGGUUAUGGUAGAAACAGGUCCAAUUUAUAGCUAAUGUGUUGAAGGAUGGAGUAUUUGCCCCCAGCAAGUCAGACAAAGGUGGCAAAGGCCGAUGUCUAAUAUUCAAAUAGGUGACAUAGUUUUGAUAGCUCAAGAAAACGUUCCUAGAGGACAGUAGCCGCUAGGUCGAGUUAUGGAAGUAAAUGUGUGUAGAGAUUGCCUCACUCGAAGCUGCCUAAUGAAAACACAAAACGCAGAGCUAGUGUGACCAAUAACUAAGCUGUGUUUACUAGAAUGUUCAGGUUAACAUAAUUGUUUGAUAUUUACAACUGUAGUUGACUUUUUACUCUUUAUUUUUUUUAAUUGUUGAUCGUAGACUAAGUAUACUUUUAUGGAAUUGGUAACUCCAUGGUGGGGGUGUAAGAAUUGUUUAUUCUUAUUUAUAUGUUUAUACCUUUAAUAAUUGGCGAGUUACAUUUUUGGCACAACGUUGCACGUGUUGAAAUGACUAUGACGUCGGUAAGGUUAUUGUUUAUUUGUAUAAGGAGACGUAACUGCUGUUUACUAGUGUCUACAGAGAUCAAAUUUUGGUAUGAAAUUAUAAUUAUUUACUGAUGUAUAUUGUUUGUGUAGAUUAUUAAUCUAUAGUACGUAAGCAAGUUUAUUGAACACCAAUUACAGCUGUGAACCUUUAUUUUUUUUAUCUAAAUACUUAAAAAGCGGUAUUGUUUGUUAAUAUUUGUUGCGUACACAUAAAUUUGUAUGUGAGUGAUUUGUAAAAUUGUACUAGUAUUUGUAGUCUCUUUCAGAGAAUCGUCAUGAUACAUCAUAUGAAUAAAACCAAGUGAAACGAUGCACACUCUUGAAUUCGAUCACAUACAACAGAUUUAUCUUCUUUCAAACACAAAAUGCAGAUCACCCCUCCUGGUCCAAAAAACCCCUUAACCAUAGAGCUGACAGAUGCAGCCUAAACAGACUCCCAAUAUCAAAUCAGAUCAGAAGACAUGCUCUCCUUUAAAGUUGGCAUUAAGAAGAUUAAAUUUCGGUGAUGUUAAAACAAUAGAUACUCCAUUAAGAGCAUCACAGGGAAAAAGUCGAAAGAUCGUGUAUAUGUAAGCUCAAGAUUACUUCCAAUCAAAAAGACCAAAAAGCACACCAGGCAUUCAACGAAAAAACCCUAUCAAACAUCCAGACCUGAAGACAAAGAUCCAUCAGAUAUAUGUAUGGAUUUCUAAUGCUGUAAACCACCUUUUAUUCUCGACCACUUUAUUUUGCAACAUCCCGAGGAAUUUUAGUUUGUAACCAAGAUAAAGGGUAUGUGGAAAAGAAAUUACCAGAAUCAUUUGAGUAUUCAUUCGCGGCGAGAAAUAUUUGCGACGACAAGACUCGAUUUUUUCCGAACCUCGGUAAAAUAUAUCUCGCGCGCGAAUUUAAGUUGGUUGCUAUUGAUACAAACAUAAUUAAUUAUUGCUUUAUAUUUUACUGAUAGUCAAUACCAAAUCUUUCUACGAUUUUUCUCUGAUAAUUUCAUAUAUGCUAGUUGUAUAGAGAACUUAUACAAGAUUUUCAUUAUUCAGAUGAUACCCUCUUCACCAAAUGUAAUAGCUCAUAGCUCCAGUAAAAAAAAAAGAAGAGACAGGAUGACAGCAUUCAAAAGGCACGGACUGUCACCGUCGAGUACACGCGAGCAAGUUGUGUACAUGCAUUUAUCUGCACGGUACUGGGUUUUCGCGUGUUAUAUUGCCCCUGAUUAAUUUUCAACAGAUACUAAUAUAAGUACCCAAAACCAUACCGACAGUGCCUGUGGCUUCAGAAAUUGUACAGCCAACCAAAGACAACAAGAACACCGAUAAAGCCGUAUGCAAAUACUUCUUUCACUUGUCAACUAUUUUUCAAUGAUAUUCAGCCAUGUUUUAACUGUAUUUCUUUACCAUCAUUAGUGUGGGAGUACACUUUUUGCAUAGGUUUGCUCUUUUAAGGCCCCAGUACAAAUCAACGUCUAUACAAAGUAUAUACAUGUAUAAAAUGGGUACUGCAUAACAAUCUCAAAUACAGUAUGUACCAGUUAUUACCUAAUCACAAAUUGAGUUCUUUAUUCUAUUUCGUCUCUUUUUUAUCUAAGCGUUCUCAAAAAUGAAGGUAGAAGAAAUGUGAUAUCCCAAAAAAGAAGAAAAGUGUACGAAUUCGAAGAUGGAAUUAUUGAAGGACUAAUCGCAAAAUUUACUCCAAUGCUUCCAAUCUAACA
This is a long non-coding RNA of Magallana angulata, 4235 nucleotides long. RefSeq lists it as uncharacterized. The transcript is spliced from 5 exons. Lineage: Eukaryota; Metazoa; Mollusca; Bivalvia; Ostreida; Ostreidae. The record is from RefSeq and is a predicted model, not a curated record.